GUAUGUUGAUUUAUCAGGAAAGUUAAAUGAAGAAAUCUUCAAGAGGCCAUUUAUAAUUCUGUUUUUAAAAGUCAAAAUUGAAAAGAGUUGGGCCAGGUGCAGUGGCUCACGCCUGUAAUCCCAGCAUUUUCGGAGGCCGGGUGGGUAGAUCACCUGAGGUGAGGCGUUGGAGACCAGCCUGGCCAACGUGGUGAAACCCUGUCUUUACUAAAGAUACAAAAAUUAGCUGGGCGUGGUGGCAUGUGCCUGUAAUCCUAGCUACUCAGGAGGCUGAGGUAGGAGAAUCGCUUGAACCUGGGUGGCAGAGGUUGCAGUGAGCCAAGAUGGUGCCAUGCACUCCAGCCUGAGCAACAGAGUGAGACUCCAUCUCAAAAAAAAAAAAAAAAAAAAUUGAUAGAGUUUAUACUAUUUAAUGUUUAAAUGUUUUCUGUAAAUUAAACAUCAAUAGACUUGAUAAUCAUAUUUUAGGAACAUUUUUUUCCAUUGAAUUAUUUACAUAUACUGUUGUACUGUAAGGCUUUAAAUUAAUUUUAAUAUUUUAUUAUUUUAAUUAGCAUUUGAAAUGUAUAGUGUUCAAUAAAUGGAUUGCUAAAUUA
Molecule: long non-coding RNA, 596 nt
Filed under: Homo sapiens (human)
Lineage: Eukaryota; Metazoa; Chordata; Mammalia; Primates; Hominidae
Description: non-protein coding lnc-N4BP2L1-4:1
Source: RNAcentral